This 301-nucleotide ribosomal RNA is filed under the name uncultured bacterium. Its description in RNAcentral is "partial 16S ribosomal RNA". It matches the Rfam family "Bacterial small subunit ribosomal RNA", at positions 509 to 809 of the family's 1533-position model. The record is from RNAcentral.
CAGUCGCCACGGGAAUACAGAGGGUGCGAGCGUUAAUCGGAUUUACUGGGCGUAAAGCGUGCGUAGGCGGCUUCUUAAGUCGGAUGUGAAAUCCCUGAGCUUAACUUAGGAAUUGCAUUCGAUACUGGGAAGCUAGAGUAUGGGAGAGGAUGGUAGAAUUCCAGGUGUAGCGGUGAAAUGCGUAGAGAUCUGGAGGAAUACCGAUGGCGAAGGCAGCCAUCUGGCCUAAUACUGACGCUGAGGUACGAAAGCAUGGGGAGCAAACAGGAUUAGAUCCCGGUAGUCCCUGUCUCUUAUACAC